UAUUCAUCAACAUUUUUGCCUAAAAACGAAGGAAGAAGGAUUCGGAUCAGAUUGAAAUCAAACUUUCGUGUGUAGGAGAAACUGUUUUGUCAGUUUGGUUGAGCCCAUGGAUCGAUCUGUGAACCUCCUGGAUCUAGCCUUAGGGUUUGAUGAGCCAUCGCCACUAAGAGGGAAGGUAGUGCUGAUCGAGGACUGUGUGGAGACGAGUGGUUCCUUUGUGCUUCACCAGAUGAUGAAGCGUGUUCUCUCCCCUCAUUCCUCUGAUUCCCUUAUCUUUCUCGCCUUUGCUCGCCCUUUCUCUCAUUACGAUCGAGUUCUGCGUAAACUCGUAAUCAUCCACAAUCCUUCUUUUUUUUCUUUUUUCUUUUUAUGUUCAUGGUUCUCAUUGUCUUACCAUGUUGGUCUGACAGGGAUGCAAUCUAGCUACUCAAAAGACAAACAAUCGAUUGGUUUUCGUUGACAUGCUCAUGAUGCAAUGCUCAGGUAAACUGGUGUUCUCCUAGUCAUUCGAGUGUUAGACGUACUUUUAGUUGGACUGUCGAUGUCUGAGAGUGCCUUGGCCUUAGGGAGAAUUAGGACAUCUCUAGAUCUGGCUCCUAACUUUUGGUUAUCUCGAUUGUUUUAUCACCAUUUCUUCUUUGAAAGCGACCACUUAAGCAAAUAUAGUAGCAUAUUGACUCUGCUCCCUGCAAAUCAGAUUUGGAAUAAUAUAAUUUUUUUUUUAACACAGAUAAUGAGAGUGGAGUUGCGAAGCUAUUUCGGGAGAUACAAGGAACAGUUGGAAAGCUACGCAGUGUGACUAAUAGCAACAUAACUGUUAUGGUGGAUGACAUGUCUCUCCUGGAAAUUGCUGCUGCCAAUAGCAAUUCAGAUCACGUCUUGGACUUCCUUCAUUACUGCCACACCUUAACUUCUGAAAGCGUAAGCUUUAUUCUUCUUUACUCUAUUAACCCCUUCUUAAUAACUUUUUUUCUCUACCAACAGAAUUGUUCGGUGGUCACUCUCAAUCACGAAGAUAUAUACUCGAGCAUGGAGAGACCUGCGUAUUUGCUACAGAUGGUAUGCCUUGCGGAUAUUGUGAUAAAAGCAGAGCCUUUAGCCUCAGGUUUAGCAAAUGACGUACAUGGCCAAGUAAAUCUCUCCUCCUCCUCCUUUUCUUUGGAAUCAUUAGAAACUAAUCUUUUGUGUUUGGCGUAAUACUAAUACAGCUGACAGUUGUGAACAAGGGGAUGAUAAGCAGCAAGUCGGGAAAAGGAAGCUCGAGGAACAAGUUGCAGAAUUUUCAAUUCAGGAUCAAGGAAAAUGGUAUUGAGUAUUUCUACCCUGGUUGCAGCAGAAACUGAGAGGAUUUGGAGAUAGUUUUUGACGGUUAUAAAUGUUGUAUGUUAGUGAGAUAUGCAGCUAAGACACGUGUGUGUGUGUGUGCGCUUUGGCAUAUGGAUGAGGAUUCUUUGACGGUUAUAAACUGAGGAUUCUUUGACUUGGUCGAAACACUGUUUUUCUUCUUUAAAAUUGGUUUAAACGGGCUUUAUUCUACAAAGUAUUGUUUCGUAGUAUUUUAUCCGGGUCGGGUUUAGUGUAACCGGAUCCUAAAUUCGUAACGAAAGAGAGAAGUCUCAUUCGUUUUCAACACCGACCAUUGGAGGGGGUCUAAUGUAUGGCUGGGACCUGUUUGGUGACGUGGAGAAAUAUAAUUGGUUAAAAAGUAAAUAAGAGUUAAGAGGGUUGGCUCUUCUGAUUUGGCGGCUAGUCUCUGAAAUUCCAUCGAUUCCAACGGAUCAUUCUCUCUCUCUCUACAAUUAUUCUUCCUUCCUUUUAUCUUUUUUGUUUUUCAUAUCUCUCUCUCUGCCUGACUCCGAGAAACCAUCAUCUCCAUUUUGUUUUUUUUUUAAGUAGCCAAGUUUCUCGGAGAUCGGGGCUUUUCUUCUCCUUGAUCCGUCUCAGAUUUCUUGCUUAAUAUGGAGAAUGUAAUCGAAUAAAAUAAAUAGCCUUUUUUAACCUCUAGGAGUUUCAUGGGGAUUUGCUUUAGCGCUCAAGGGCAGUUCCAAUUCUCUCAAAACCAAAACUCCUCUCAGAAGAAGACACCAGGACCAGGUAUCUCAAUCUUAUCACAUCGGAUUCGGAUCUCCUUUAAAAAAAACAAAUUGAAUUUUGCAGUGUAUCUAAUGAAUACGGAUUGUAAAGAGUCGUCGUCGUCGGUGGGUGGGAAACCGAGUCCAAGCGGUUUGCCUUUGCCUCCGAAAAACAUCAAAGAUCUGCAGUCCAAUCCUGGUUACGAGAACGUCGACAUCUUCACCUACGAGGAGAUGAAGUUAGCCACCAAGCAGUUCAGGCCUGAUUUCAUCCUCGGCGAGGGUGGUUUCGGCGUCGUCUACAAAGGUCUCGUUGAUGAGACCGUGCGGCCUGGUUACAACUCCACCAAAGUUGCUAUCAAAGAACUUAAUCCAGAGGGCUUUCAGGGAGAUCGCGAGUGGCUGGUAUAUAUGUGUAAUUGUGCUAUGUAUCUAGAGAGAGUUAUGUUUUUUCAAAGUGUUUGAUUUUUGUUGUUGUAGGCUGAAGUUAACUAUUUAGGACAGCUUAGUCAUCCCAACUUGGUCAAGCUUAUUGGCUACUGCUGUGAAGAUGACCACAGGUUGUUAGUCUAUGAAUACAUGUCAUUGGGAAGCCUCGAGAAACAUCUCUUUCGAAGUAUGUUUCUGUUUUCCUCCUUUGUUUGUUUGUGAUUUAAGUCUUUAUAUAAUAUGAAAUGUUUCUUUCUCUUGGCAGGAGUUGGUUGCACUUUGACAUGGUCCAAACGAGUGAAGAUCGCUCUACACGCAGCCAAGGGUCUCGCCUUUCUUCAUGGUGCUGAACGCUCCGUCAUCUAUCGAGAUCUCAAGACUGCCAACAUAUUGCUCGACGAGGUCUGCUCUGUUUUCAGAUUUUAGAAUUGUUAGUGAAGUUACUACAGUCUUGUUUCGAUUUGUCUGUCUAUGCUGCCCCCCCUCCUGAAAGGUGUAAUGCUUGUGCAGUGUUACAAUGCUAAACUCGCUGACUUUGGACUAGCCAAAGAUGGCCCCAGCGGAGAUCAAACGCAUGUGUCAACACGUGUUAUGGGCACUUACGGAUACGCUGCUCCUGAGUAUGUUAUGACAGGUCUGUCUGUCUUUGCUAAUUUUCCAUUCCCACUUUUCAUAGCUGUUUUUAAAAUGACUCUAUUUGUUGUUGUAAUUAGGGCAUUUGACAUCGAGAAGUGAUGUUUAUGGAUUUGGGGUUCUUCUCCUUGAGAUGCUCCUUGGGAAAAGGGCAAUGGACAAAAGCAGACCUUGCCGGGAGCAUAACUUGGUCGAGUGGGCAAGACCGCUACUCAAUCACAACAAAAAGCUUUUGAGGAUCAUAGACCCUCGAAUGGAUGGGCAGUACACCACCAAGGCGUUGAUGAAAGUAGCUGAUUUGGCAUACCAAUGCUUAAGCCAAAACCCGAAAGGAAGACCCCUCAUGAGUCAUGUAGUAGAAGUCCUCGAGACUCUCAAGGAGGACGGUAAUGCCCAAGAGGAAGUCAUGGCUAAUCUCCAUAGCAGAGGCAAGUCUGUAACUUUAUAUCAAGCAGCUCCUUGUGAUUCUUCCCAAGGCACAAGAAACGUUGAUGGACAGAGGAGGAGUGGUAGAAGCAAGAGCGAAGCUUCCGUGGAUGUUUCUGCUCUUGUUUCAGACUCGGAUCCGGAAUCUACCAAAGUUUAAGACUCAAAACAAGAAAGAUUCACAAGUGAAUUGAGGAUUUAUGAUCAAGAAAGGUAGCAGAGUUGGGUUAAGUGUAUAAAUAAGCUGAGUCUUCGUUUUGGGGAUCCUUUUUUUCUCUUUUUAAUCUUUUUGGGGAUUACGAAUAUUAGUGCAAUAUGCAAUUUGAUCAACCUUUGAAAUUCAAAUGGAUUUUUGUUUUGAUCAAAGAAAAUGGUAUAUUUGACAAACUGAUUGCAUAACUUGGUAAUGCAUAGCAAUAUUAUAUAGCAUAUGAUAGGAGCACAUGUGUCUCUAUUCUUGUUUUGGUACAUAACAUGAUAAGACGCUGUCAGUUUGGUUGAGCCCAUGGAUCGAUCUGUGAACCUCCUGGAUCUAGCCUUAGGGUUUGAUGAGCCAUCGCCACUAAGAGGGAAGGUAGUGCUGAUCGAGGACUGUGUGGAGACGAGUGGUUCCUUUGUGCUUCACCAGAUGAUGAAGCGUGUUC
RNAcentral lists this long non-coding RNA (4204 nucleotides) under Brassica napus (rape). Its description in RNAcentral is "long non-coding RNA (BNAP_LNC007645)". Lineage: Eukaryota; Viridiplantae; Streptophyta; Magnoliopsida; Brassicales; Brassicaceae. The record is from RNAcentral.